Oryza sativa Japonica Group (Japanese rice) is the source of this 588-nucleotide long non-coding RNA. RefSeq lists it as uncharacterized. NCBI's taxonomy places the organism in Eukaryota, Viridiplantae, Streptophyta, Magnoliopsida, Poales, Poaceae. The record is from RefSeq and is a predicted model, not a curated record.
UCCCUUCCCGUUCACCUCCUCCUCAUCGCAUCUCCUCUACUCCUCUCUCUCCCUUCCCUGUGUCGUGUACAUGACACAAAAGUGUGGGCCCAAACCUGUAAUUUCUGAUGAGACUCUUGACAACAUUUAGCUCCCCGUUCUUCAGGAAGCACCGCAAAGAUCCGAUGUGGAGGAGAAUCUCCGACCUGGUCUCCCCAGGCUGAAUGGCCCGUCACUGCACUGUGAAAGCCCUGAGAGCUGGAUGGAUUUAGCCCACGAACGUUAGUGUCUCACAAACAGGUCGACAGGGCAACAUAUUGGCUCCGGUGUUGGACACAGCUGCAAAAGUGUGAAGAUGAUGGAGAGCUUAUGAAGGUUGCAUAUCGUAGGCUUGAGACGACAGUUAUGCAACUUUUUACAAACUAUGGAUGGAGAUUCACAAAUAGACUUGAAUAAAUGUGUACUUCUUAUCUCGGUUUGGUCAUUUAUUUCGGUUUGGUUUUUUAUUUUGUUGGGUGUGUUUAAUUUCAUUAUGAACUACACUCUUUGUUUGAGUGAUACAUUAUAAUAAUUGGCUGUAGCUUUGAUGAGCAAAGGCCGGAAUGUUCA